RNAcentral lists this ribosomal RNA (500 nucleotides) under uncultured eukaryote. RNAcentral describes it as "partial 18S ribosomal RNA". It matches the Rfam family "Eukaryotic small subunit ribosomal RNA", at positions 592 to 1096 of the family's 1831-position model. The record is from RNAcentral.
CAAUAGCGUAUAUUAAUGUUGUUGCAGUUAAAAAGCUCGUAGUUGGAUUUGUGGUUCGUCCUGCCGGCUGGGCCUUUUGGCCUUGGCUGUGCCGGUCGUCCAUCCUUGGGUGGAAUCUGUGUGGCAUUAGGUUGUCGCGCAGGGGAUGCCCAUCGUUUACUGUGAGAAAAUUAGAGUGUUCAAAGCAGGCUUAUGCCGUUGAAUAUGUUAGCAUGGAAUAAUAAUAUAGGACCUUGGUACUAUUUUGUUGGUUUGCGCACUAAGGUAAUGAUUAAUAGGGACAGUUGGGGGUAUUCGUAUUCCAUUGUAAGAGGUGAAAUUCUUGGAUUUUUGGAAGACGAACUACUGCGAAAGCAUUUACCAAGGUAUGUUUCUCCUAAACGAUCUAUAUGUGAUGGAUGCCUGAAGGCGUGCUCCUUGAAAUAAGAAAUGACGACGGACGUUUUACUCACCGUACACUUCUCUAUCUGUCUCGUGUUACCAAAGGAUGUUUUCAUUAA